AGAGUUUGAUCCUGGCUCAGAAUCAACGCUGGCGGCGCGCUUAACACAUGCAAGUCGCACGAGAAAGGGGCAACCUGAGUAAAGUGGCGUACGGGUGAGUAACACGUGGAUCAUCUACCUUCUAGUGGGGAAUACCUCUGGGAAACCGGAGACAAUACCGCAUAAGCUCGUGAGAGGAAAGCAGCAAUGCGCUGGAAGAG
Molecule: ribosomal RNA, 200 nt
Filed under: uncultured bacterium
Lineage: Bacteria
Description: partial 16S ribosomal RNA
Rfam family: Bacterial small subunit ribosomal RNA
Source: RNAcentral